AAAGCCUGGGAGUUGCUAUUAUUGUUGUGUCCAUCGGUAUCUUUUCAUGUAGAAAUAACAUGACCGAGUUCCCUCUCGGCACAGGAAUCAGAAACUAAUCGUCCUUGUUUUUUUUUUUAUGGCCAAGUAGAGGAACUAUUAAUGGAGCAAUGUAAGUUGUACCGGUAUCGUGUUAUGGGUGCAGGAGGUCUGGAAGUGCAACAUGCAGGAUUUUCGCUUUUCUUCAACUUGCACUCGUCGUUGACUUGUGAAAUACUCGACAGGUUCUCGGUCAAGUUGUUUCUGUAUCCGGAGAAAGAGUAGCACGAUGGAACUUGGAGGGCACCGCAUUCGGUUGACUUGAACUAGCCAUGUUUUUCCAAGGGAGAAUUGAGCACGUCUGAUUGGAUAACUAGAGCUGUCAACAGCAAACCCACAUGAGAGGGCCGGGGGUAUGCCACUCGGGAGGAGGAGGAUAUG
Molecule: long non-coding RNA, 459 nt
Filed under: Brachypodium distachyon (stiff brome)
Lineage: Eukaryota; Viridiplantae; Streptophyta; Magnoliopsida; Poales; Poaceae
Description: long non-coding RNA (BDIS_LNC002716)
Source: RNAcentral